This 574-nucleotide unclassified non-coding RNA is filed under the name Aspergillus calidoustus. Its description in RNAcentral is "sequence contains 18S rRNA gene, ITS1, 5.8S rRNA gene, ITS2, 28S rRNA gene". The stretch from base 199 to 352 matches the Rfam family "5.8S ribosomal RNA". The record is from RNAcentral. Lineage: Eukaryota; Fungi; Ascomycota; Eurotiomycetes; Eurotiales; Aspergillaceae.
GUAACAAGGUUUCCGUAGGUGAACCUGCGGAAGGAUCAUUACCGAGUGCAGGUCUGCCCCCGGGCAGGCCUAACCUCCCACCCGUGAAUACCUGACCAACGUUGCUUCGGCGGUGCGCCCCCCCCGGGGGUAGCCGCCGGAGACCACACCGAACCUCCUGUCUUUAGUGUUGUCUGAGCUUGAUAGCAAACCUAUUAAAACUUUCAACAAUGGAUCUCUUGGUUCCGGCAUCGAUGAAGAACGCAGCGAACUGCGAUAAGUAAUGUGAAUUGCAGAAUUCAGUGAAUCAUCGAGUCUUUGAACGCACAUUGCGCCCCCUGGCAUUCCGGGGGGCAUGCCUGUCCGAGCGUCAUUGCUGCCCUUCAAGCCCGGCUUGUGUGUUGGGUCGUCGUCCCCCCCGGGGGACGGGCCCGAAAGGCAGCGGCGGCACCGCGUCCGGUCCUCGAGCGUAUGGGGCUUUGUCACCCGCUCGAUUAGGGCCGGCCGGGCGCCAGCCGGCGUCUCCAACCUUCUAUUUUACCAGGUUGACCUCGGAUCAGGUAGGGAUACCCGCUGAACUUAAGCAUAUCAAUAA